AACAGAGUCGGUAUCCGAAAUUUCAAAUUCAAAGCCUACUUGUUUUAUAUUUUUAGCGGAGUUUUUUUUACAAAAAAAGAUGAGCCAAAGUGGAUAGCUUGCUUACAUUUCUCUCGUUUGGUUCGAGUUAUGUAAUAUUACAAAGUAUCUCGACAUAUCCAAAUAUUUUGGAUUUCGGCGUAAGAUUACUACUGAUGCUGCAUUAGAGCGUUUGGUUUAAUACAGUAAUGUAAUAGUAGAUUACAGUGUUUAUAGCAUUAAUAUGUUUGGUUCAGUUUAUAAAAUUUAGUAAUCAUGACAUAAAAGUAUAGUUUUUCCAAAAUUGCCCUUGUUUUGGUCAUUUGAAUAUUAUUUUUUGCGGAAAUGACGAAUAGAGGGAAGGAGAUCGUGUUGAUUACUUGGGAGGACGACGCAAUAGAAGAUGAUAGGUGUUCGUGAGAGAGAGAGAGAGAGAGAGAGAGAGAGAGAGAGAGACGUUGAGAGAGAGAGAGCGAGAGAAAGCGGCGUGCGAGAGAGACGGCCGGGGGGAAGUUGAGAGAGAUAAAAAUAAUGCUGUUAAUUAGAUUUGAGGUUGUUGGAGGGUAAAAUUGUCAUUUUACAUAAUAUGUAGUAUU
Molecule: long non-coding RNA, 614 nt
Filed under: Ananas comosus (pineapple)
Lineage: Eukaryota; Viridiplantae; Streptophyta; Magnoliopsida; Poales; Bromeliaceae
Description: long non-coding RNA (ACOM_LNC038241)
Source: RNAcentral